Molecule: ribosomal RNA, 1068 nt
Filed under: Leptogium malmei
Lineage: Eukaryota; Fungi; Ascomycota; Lecanoromycetes; Peltigerales; Collemataceae
Description: eukaryotic LSU rRNA
Rfam family: Eukaryotic large subunit ribosomal RNA
Source: RNAcentral
CUAAAGCUAAAUAUUGGCCGGAGACCGAUAGCGCACAAGUAGAGUGAUCGAAAGAUGAAAAGCACUUUGAAAAGAGAGUCAAACAGCACGUGAAAUUGUUGAAAGGGAAGCGCUGAUCCCCAGACCUGUUCGCGGAGCGGUCCCCCCCCCGAGGAAUACCACCGGGGGUAUUGACCGCCCGCGGUGCAGGCCAGCACGGGUUCCGGCGGCGGGAGAAAGCGCCCGGGAACGUAACUCCCCCCACGGGGGAGCCUUAUAGCCCGGGCGGCCAUGCCGCCCGCUGGGACCGAGGACCGCGCCCCGGCGAGGGUGCUGGCGUAAUGGGGAUCAUCGACCCGUCUUGAAACACGGACCAAGGAGUCUAACGUCCCCGCGAGUGUUCGGGCGUCAAACCCCGGCGCGGAAUGAAAGUGAACGGAGGUGGGAGCCCCGUCACAGGGGCGCACCAUCGACCGAUCCAGAUGUCUUCGGAUGGAUUUGAGUACGAGCGCGGCCGUUGGGACCCGAAAGAUGGUGAACUAUGCCUGGGUAGGGUGAAGCCAGAGGAAACUCUGGUGGAGGCUCGCAGCGGUUCUGACGUGCAAAUCGAUCGUCAAACCUGGGCAUAGGGGCGAAAGACUAAUCGAACCAUCUAGUAGCUGGUUCCUGUCGAAGUUUCCCUCAGGAUAGCAGUCGCGCGUGCGGUUUUAUGAGGUAAAGCGAAUGAUUAGAGGCCUUGGGGAUGCAACAUCCUUAACCUAUUCUCAAACUUUAAAUAUGUAAGAAGUCCCUGUUGCUUCGGUGAACGAGGACAUGCGAACGCGGCGCGGCUAGUGGGCCAUUUUUGGUAAGCAGAACUGGCGAUGCGGGAUGAACCGAACGCGAGGUUAAGGUGCCGGAAUGCACGCUCAUCAGACACCACAAAAGAUGUCAAUUCAUCUGGACAGUCGGACGGUGGCCAUGGAAGCCGGAACCCGCCAAGGAGUGCGUAACAGCUCACCGACCGAAUGAAUUGGCUCUGAAAAUGGAUGGCGCUCAAGCGUGCUACCCAUACCUCGCCGCCGGGGCAGAAGCGAUGCCCCGGCGAGU